This 253-nucleotide ribosomal RNA is filed under the name uncultured bacterium. RNAcentral's name for it is "partial 16S ribosomal RNA". It matches the Rfam family "Bacterial small subunit ribosomal RNA", at positions 524 to 776 of the family's 1533-position model. The record is from RNAcentral.
UACGUAGGGUGCGAGCGUUAAUCGGAAUUACUGGGCGUAAAGCGUGCGCAGGCGGUUCGUUGUGUCGGUGGUGAAAGCCCCGGGCUUAACCUGGGAAUGGCCAUGGAAACUGGCGAACUGGAGUGUGGCAGAGGGGGGUGGAAUUCCGCGUGUAGCAGUGAAAUGCGUAGAGAUGUGGAGGAACACCGAUGGCGAAGGCAGCCCCCUGGGUCAACACUGACGCUCAUGCACGAAAGCGUGGGGAGCAAACAGG